GGGUUGUGAGGUUAAGCGACUAAGCGUACACGGUGGAUGCCCUGGCAGUCAGAGGCGAUGAAGGACGUGCUAAUCUGCGAUAAGCGUCGGUAAGGUGAUAUGAACCGUUAUAACCGGCGAUUUCCGAAUGGGGAAACCCAGUGUGUUUCGACACACUAUCAUUAACUGAAUCCAUAGGUUAAUGAGGCGAACCGGGGGAACUGAAACAUCUAAGUACCCCGAGGAAAAGAAAUCAACCGAGAUUCCCCCAGUAGCGGCGAGCGAACGGGGAGGAGCCCAGAGCCUGAAUCAGUGUGUGUGUUAGUGGAAGCGUCUGGAAAGGCGUGCGAUACAGGGUGACAGCCCCGUACACAAAAAUGCACAUACUGUGAGCUCGAUGAGUAGGGCGGGACACGUGGUAUCCUGUCUGAAUAUGGGGGGACCAUCCUCCAAGGCUAAAUACUCCUGACUGACCGAUAGUGAACCAGUACCGUGAGGGAAAGGCGAAAAGAACCCCGGCGAGGGGAGUGAAAAAGAACCUGAAACCGUGUACGUACAAGCAGUGGGAGCCUCUUAAUGGGGUGACUGCGUACCUUUUGUAUAAUGGGUCAGCGACUUAUAUUCUGUAGCAAGGUUAACCGAAUAGGGGAGCCGAAGGGAAACCGAGUCUUAACUGGGCGUUAAGUUGCAGGGUAUAGACCCGAAACCCGGUGAUCUAGCCAUGGGCAGGUUGAAGGUUGGGUAACACUAACUGGAGGACCGAACCGACUAAUGUUGAAAAAUUAGCGGAUGACUUGUGGCUGGGGGUGAAAGGCCAAUCAAACCGGGAGAUAGCUGGUUCUCCCCGAAAGCUAUUUAGGUAGCGCCUCGUGAAUUCAUCUCCGGGGGUAGAGCACUGUUUCGGCAAGGGGGUCAUCCCGACUUACCAACCCGAUGCAAACUGCGAAUACCGGAGAAUGUUAUCACGGGAGACACACGGCGGGUGCUAACGUCCGUCGUGAAGAGGGAAACAACCCAGACCGCCAGCUAAGGUCCCAAAGUCAUGGUUAAGUGGGAAACGAUGUGGGAAGGCCCAGACAGCCAGGAUGUUGGCUUAGAAGCAGCCAUCAUUUAAAGAAAGCGUAAUAGCUCACUGGUCGAGUCGGCCUGCGCGGAAGAUGUAACGGGGCUAAACCAUG
This 1157-nucleotide ribosomal RNA is filed under the name Escherichia coli. RNAcentral's name for it is "partial 23S ribosomal RNA". It matches the Rfam family "Bacterial large subunit ribosomal RNA", at positions 1 to 1191 of the family's 2925-position model. Lineage: Bacteria; Pseudomonadati; Pseudomonadota; Gammaproteobacteria; Enterobacterales; Enterobacteriaceae. The record is from RNAcentral.